GAUGAAGAACGCAGUGAAAUGCGAUACGUAAUGUGAAUUGCAGAAUUCAGUGAAUCAUCGAGUCUUUGAACGCACAUUGCGCCCCCUGGUAUUCCGGGGGGCAUGCCUGUCCGAGCGUCAUUGCUGCCCUCAAGCACGGCUUGUGUGUUGGGCCUCCGUCCUCCUCCCGGGGGACGGGCCCGAAAGGCAGCGGCGGCACCGCGUCCGGUCCUCGAGCGUAUGGGGCUUCGUCACCCGCUCUUGUAGGCCCGGCCGGCGCUUGCCGACACAUCAAUCUUUUUUCCAGGUUGACCUCAGAUCAGGUAGGGAUACCCGCUGAACUUAAGCAUAUCAAUAAGCGGAGGA
Molecule: unclassified non-coding RNA, 345 nt
Filed under: soil metagenome
Description: partial contains 5.8S ribosomal RNA, internal transcribed spacer 2, and large subunit ribosomal RNA
Rfam family: 5.8S ribosomal RNA (bases 1-120)
Source: RNAcentral